GACGAACGCUGGCGGCGUGCUUAACACAUGCAAGUCGAACGGAAAGGCCCUGCUUUUGUGGGGUGCUCGAGUGGCGAACGGGUGAGUAACACGUGAGUAACCUGCCCUUGACUUUGGGAUAACUUCAGGAAACUGGGGCUAAUACCGGCUAGGAGCUCCUGCUGCAUGGUGGGGGUUGGAAAGUUUCGGCGGUUGGGGAUGGACUCGCGGCUUAUCAGCUUGUUGGUGGGGUAGUGGCUUACCAAGGCUUUGACGGGUAGCCGGCCUGAGAGGGUGACCGGCCACAAUGGGACUGAGAUACGGCCCAGACUCCUACGGGAGGCAGCAGUGGGGAAUAUUGCACAAUGGGCGGAAGCCUGAUGCAGAAACGCCGCGUGCGGGAUGACGGCCUUCGGGUUGUAAACCGCUUUCGCCUGUGACGAAGCGUGAGUGACGGUAAUGGGUAAAGAAGCACCGGCUAACUACGUG
Molecule: ribosomal RNA, 468 nt
Filed under: uncultured bacterium
Lineage: Bacteria
Description: partial 16S ribosomal RNA
Rfam family: Bacterial small subunit ribosomal RNA
Source: RNAcentral